Molecule: long non-coding RNA, 990 nt
Organism: Fundulus heteroclitus (mummichog)
Lineage: Eukaryota; Metazoa; Chordata; Actinopteri; Cyprinodontiformes; Fundulidae
Exons: 3
Source: RefSeq, a predicted model, not a curated record
AAAAACCAUCAUCACUGCAACAUCAUCAGGAUCCUGGGGCCCACUUUCAGGAGGAUAGCAGCUCUGAUGAGUCCCGUCUCAGCUUGUUUCUGUCUGUUCCCAGCCCAGCCGGUGGCCUGGUUAAACCUGGAGAUGGCUCCAUACUGGUACAAUCGUCAGGAAUGCUCGAAGAUAGAAAUCUAGGGUUUAAGGCAGAGUCUGUCCUGCCUCCAAUCCUGACUGGACAUAAAACCCGGGACGUCUGCAGGUCACCUCAGUCACAGAGAGCUGAACCAACGUCGCCAGUCGAGAAGAACCAAGGAGCAAAUGUGAAGGAAGCAUUUUCAUAAUGGGUUCAGUUACUGGACUGUAAACAAAGCAGAACAUGAUGGAAAUAUUCUCUUUUCUAAAAGUGAAACAGUUUAAAAAAAAGAAAGAUAUGCUGUUCUCAUGAUCUGUGAGAAUAGGGCUUGGAUUUCAGUUUCACGCCUUUGUUUUGUUUGUUUUUUUACUCUCUGUCUUCUCUUGUCUCCUUGUUCAUUUUCCUAGUUAACAGCACUUCAGGUUUUAUUCUGUAAAUAGUUUUAUUUUUUAUACUUUCCCAUGUGUUUCUGCCCAGUGAUGCAUAUUUUUAUGACGUCUCAAGACACAACUGCAGUUUGUUUAGACUAUGAGAGAGCAAGGCAUUCUGCUGAUAACAGGAAGGCUGAAGGGAAUAAUUUGAAGCUGCUCUUGUUUAUCAUUCUGAGCUUUUAACCGCUGCCGUACUGGAUUUGGUGUUAAGGUACAGAUGUAAAUUAAAAACGUCUGCUUCAGUAAUCGUUAAGCCAUCCUAAUUGCUAGCUUAACAUCUAACUGAAAUAAGACACCAGCUUCACAUCGACGCUUCUCCACUUCUGUCCCAUCAUUUCUUUUGUCUAUUUUAUAAAUCUCAGUUUGACGUUUUCUGCUUUCUUUUUAAUGCAGCUUGAUAAGUGUGUUCAACGGGAAAUUAAAGAGCCACACACAUUA